This is a long non-coding RNA of Loxodonta africana (African savanna elephant), 11800 nucleotides long. RefSeq lists it as uncharacterized. NCBI's taxonomy places the organism in Eukaryota, Metazoa, Chordata, Mammalia, Proboscidea, Elephantidae. The record is from RefSeq and is a predicted model, not a curated record. The transcript has 5 exons.
AUGUUUUCACCAUUCAUCCAUGUCACACCAUGGAGUUACUUAAUUUUAACAAUCCCUUUUCAAUCAUUUCUUUAAUGAAAUUCAUACCAAACACAUGAAUACACUAUUUCCAUCAUUACUGAUCAUAAAAGUUCUAGGUCUGAUUUUUUUUUCUGUAUAAAAAUGAGAAUUUAUAAAAUAACACAUAAUUGGAAAGUACAGGAUAAGGAAGAAUAUGCAUAUAGUUUUUUUUAUCCCUCAAAGGAUAGCUGUAUUUUAUGAGAUAAUUAGGAGCAACAAAUACCAUUCCUGAAAAUAUAGGGAUUGAGUCAAAAAUUAUUUUUCUAACAAAUACUUUAAGGUCGUAUUUUUUCUAUGUAUGUUGUAUAGGUACCCUUUGACUGAAACAAUGUCAAAUCUGUAUUUUGUCUCUCUUUCUGCUAAUAUUUUAUUUUCAUUUAAACAACUUUCCCACCACAUCAUAUUCCCACCAGCAAGAAUGACUCAAAAUAGCUUUCCCAGUUAAGGGUAGGAAAAAAAAAAACCACAGAGUGAGGACAGAAUGUCUGCUGAGUGACCAGCCAUUGGAGUCCAGCGCGUGAAAGGGAAGAAUGUGCUAGCAAAAGUGGCACUACAUAAAUGAUUACCAGUGAAAAAAAGGUCACACUUCGUGUGGCCUCUGUUAUUCUAAUGUGGUGCACUUGAGUGUAAAAAUAAUGGGCUGUGUCAGCCUUACUAAUUAUCUGCAUUAUUUUCUAGAAAAGCAGGAUCAUGAAAUGCCUCCAAACCACCUGACGUAAUGGGGUGAUCCCAGGGGCUACCUCAGCUGCAGUUAGGGGUGUAGUACUGAGCGGACUCGCAUGAUAGCAAUACUGGCAACAAGACGAUAGAAUCAGCCAUGUUCCUGUAGUGGAUUUCUUUAGCCUAGUGGUCAAAUUUCCAAGUUAAUAAAACUAUGUUUUGAUGCCUGGGGCACUUUCCUGUCUCAGGCUGACCUUGUUUGUCCAUUAUAGCUUAAAUAUACUGCAUUUAAGUUAAUGGGGGAAGCCAAUUAGUCUGUUCUAACGGCUUGCAUGCGGUUCUUUGGUGCAUUCUUUAAUUUGGCCCUUAGAAAGCAAGAACACAGGCUAGCCCAUAAUAGUGCUCCAAUGCUGGGAGCUAUCAAUGCCUUCAUAUCUGCAAAUUUACUUAUGGGACAUUUUGAGUGGAAAAUGUUUGUGACUGAGAAACUAUGCAGGAAGACCUGGCUGCUAGUGACAUUGCUUCUCUCCUUCAAGCAAGCAGGUGCAUCUGGGUGUGUGUUUGUGUGUGUGUGUGUGUGGUCAUAUUUACAUUUAGACUGUGAGCUGUUGAAGGGCAAAGAACGUGUCUCUUUCUUAGUAACUGUCCUGAAUCUGGAAACAGUGUUCUUACCAAAUGACUCUGUACUACACAUGUAUGAGGGAGUGGAUGUUCUAGUGAAAAGCACGUGAAGUUUGGGACUUAAAGACUGGAUUUUAUUCCCUUCCUUGUUUCUUGCUAGUUUUGUGACCUUGGAGAGAUAUGUAUAGGAUACACACCCACCAUCUUUUUAGGGACGUGCCACAUUAAACUGAAAACACUUCAAAAUGGUUUGUUAGCAUUUUCUUCCUGUAUAGUGAUCAACUUUUAGUCAAAUUAUUUCUUAAGAUUAUUACAUGGAUAUGCUUGUUAUUUCUGUUUUGUGAAAGAAAUGCCUCCUGAUAUUAAAAAUCAUUUUGCUAAAUAUCUCAAUCUCAUUCCUUGCCAGGGUCCUCUACACUGUAUCAAUAUAGAGCUAUCUGCAGUUCCUUCCCUGAACAUACUCUACUAUUUUGUGCCUCUGUGUCUUUGCAUAUGCCAGAUCCUCAAGCGGAAUGUAUACACCUUUAAGACAGUUCAAGAAUCAUCUGAUUUGAUCAAUUCUUCUACCGCAGUUAGGUUGCUCAUUCCCCCUCAUUACAGUGUGGGAACAUUGGUUGUUUAGUGGUAGAAUUCUUGCCUUCCAUGUAGGAUCCUUGGGUUGGAUUCCCUGCCAAUGCACCUCAUGUGCAGACACCACUCAUCUGGCUUAUGUGUUGUUGAUUCUUUCCUCAAGGUGCUUGUAACAUGUAACUUCAAUGCCUUGCAUGGGAUGAAUAUAACGGCUUCUGUACAAAAUAUUUAAAGCAAUAUUUUCUCUCUCUCAAAAAUGUAGUCUUCUAGGGGAGGUCAGCACAACUGGACUAAACCAAAAGCAAAGAUGUUUCCUGAAUACAACCAAAUGCUUUGAAGGCCAGAGUAGCAGAAAGAGGGGUCUGGGGGCCAUGGUUUCAGGGGACAUCUAGGUCAACUGACAUAAUAAAAUCUAUUAAGAAAACAUUCUGCAUCCCACUUUGGUGAGUGGUGUCUGGGGUCUUAAACGCUAGCAAGCAGCCAUCUAAGAUGCAUCAAUUGGUCUCAACCCACCUGGAGAAAACGAGAAUGAAUAACAAUUCAUAUUUACACAAGGUAAAUAUGAGCCCAAGAGACAGAAAGGGCCACAUAAGGCAGAAACUAUCAGCCUGAGACCAGAAGAACUAGAUGGUGCCCGGCUACCACCGAUGACUGCCCUGACAGGGAACACAACAAAGAAUCCCUGAUGGAGCAGGAGAAAAGUGGGAUGCAGAUUUCAAAUUCUCGUUAAAAGACCAGGCUUAAUGGUCUGACUGAGACUAAAGGGGCCCUGGAGGUCAUGGUCUCUGGACCGUCUGUUAGCCCAAGACUGGAACCAUUCCUGAAGCCAACUCUUCAAACAGGGAUUGGACUGGACUACAAGACAGAAAAUGAUACUGGUGAGGAGUGAGCUUCUUGGUUCAUGUGAGAAGACAUAUAAGACUAUGUGGGCAGCUCCUGUCUGGAGACAAGAUGAGAAGGCAGAGGGAACAGGAGCUGGUUGAAUGGACACAGGGAAUACAAGUUUCAGGGUUCAGAGGAUGACCUGAACCUAGUGUAUGCUGCAUCAGGGUGCCUGACCUGCCACUCCACAGGGAACUACCUCCAUAGCCACUGCUGCCUGCAGCCUUCUCUUUCCCCUGUGCCCAAAGCUGCUGUCAGAUGUCAGGGGGAUGAGACUUCACAAGGCUACAUAUAGGAUUUCAUUUUAUAUGGAUUCACAGUCAACGCCCAUGGAAACAGCAGUCAAGAAAUCAAAAGACACAUUGCAUUGGGCAAAUCUCCUACAAAAGACCUCUCUGAAGUGCUAAAAAACAAAGAUGUCACCUUGAGGACUAAGGGGCGCCUGACCCAAGCCAUGGUGUUUUCAAUCCCCUCAUAUGCAUGCGGACACUGGACGAUGAAUAAGAAAGACCAAAGAAUUGAUGCCUUUGACUUAUGGUCUUGGCAAAGAAUACUGAAUAUACCAUGGACUGCCAAAAGAACGAACAAAUCAGUCUUGGAAGAAGUGCAGUCAGAACGUUCCUUAGAAGCAAGGAUGGCAAGACUACGUCUCACAUACUUUGAACAUAUUGCAGGAGGGAUCAGUCCCUGGAGAAGGUAGAGGGUCAGCGAAGAGGAGGAAGACCCUCAAUGAGAUGGAUUGACACUGGCGCAACAAUGGACUCAAGCAUAACAAUGACUGUAAGGAUGGCGGAGUACUGGGCAGUGUUUCAUUUUGUUGUACAUGGGGUGGCUAUGAUUCAAUGGUCCUAACAACAACAUGUAUAUAUGUCUAUAUAUGUAUAUAUAUAUAUAUGUCUCUCUAUAGACAUUAUAUCUAUAUAUCUAUAUCUACAGCCCUGAGCAGAAGGAGGAAAACCAAAGCCAGGAUGCUAGAUUUACAGAUAAAUGGGAUGAUUGAAGGUGUCUCUAUAUUGAGGCCUCAAGAUUAGGUAAUUAUUUAUUCUGUAAUUUAUAGCAGAAUGAUAGCUAUGGUUGGUAUGAUAGAUGUAGGUCACUGGUUUUGAUAUUGUCCUUGUAAUUAAUUAGUUAACAAGUUUCUAAUUCACUAAGUUAAUUACUGAAAUAAAUUUAUGCUAAAGAACAGAAAGAAGACUGGUUCAAAUAAAUUCAUAUUGGUCCAGGAAAAAAAAAUGAGACCUUUACUAAUCCUUCAAAGUAGAUGCACUCAACUACUUUGUGUGAUAAAAACAAAAUUAGCUAGUUGGGAUUUCCUUUUUGUUUGUUUACAAUAGUCUGUAUACAUUGAUGUUCCAUAAACUAUUGACCUAGUUCAUGAUAAAUAUAUGCAGAUGAUUUAGAUUUUUGUGCAAUAAAAGCAUUUUUUCUUGCAUAGAGUAAACCAAAAAAACCAAACCCAUUUCCAUCAAGUUGAUUCCGACUCAUAGCAAACCUAUAACACAGAGUAAAACCACCCCAUAGGGUUUCCAAAGAGAGGCUAGUGAAUUUGAACUGCUGACCUUUUGAUUUGCAGCUGAGCUCUUAAUCACUGUGCCACGAGUGGUUUAAAAAAAAAAAAGUGAUUAAAAAGAAUUAGAUUGUUAAAAUCACUAUUACAUUUUCAGUAUUUAGCCUUUUGAUUUCCUUUCACCUUUAAAAAAGAAUUAAAAUGAAUAUUUUAAGACAAUAAGUGCUUAAAGAUUAUAGUUUGCUGAAAUGAUUUAAAAUUGAUUUGUUCUGGCCAUUUUCUUUGUCAAGAAAAUCUGAAAUGCAAGGAGACCUCUUAGAUGGUGACUUCUGUGUCUUAACACUGGAGAGUCUGGGCUUUAGGACCAAAAUGACUGGCUUCUAAUGCUGGUUCUGUCACUUACAACUCUGUGAGUUCAGCCUACUUACUUAUCCUCUGUGUGCUUCAAUUUCCCCAUUUCUAAAAUGGGAAUGGUAAUAGUAAGCACCUCAUAAAAGAUUAAAAGCUAUUAUAUGUGCAAAGUGUUUAGAACUUGAUGGGGACUCAUUGGGGCACAUGAUACACUCUCUUUACAUGUUGGGUCCUCCUUGAUUCACUCCCCAGUGUUCCCUAGUGUCCCCAGGAUCUCUGGCUCUGCCCUCCUCCUCCUCUGCCUUCCUUGCUAUUCUAUGAUUGUUCUGGUUGGUACUUACAUUUUGUAUUGGAAUUUGUUUAAAAAGUGUCUCUGUCACUUAAUAGCUGGAUGAUCUUGAGAGUAUUCCUUAAUGUCUUACUGUAAUUUUCCUCAUUUGUAAUAACCUGUUUCCUUAUGAGGAUCAAAUGGUAUAUUAAAUGUGAAGAUAAUUUAAAACCUGCAGAGUAUAGCAUAUUAUUAGAAAUUAUAACUUAAAGUGUGAGCUCUGGGAAAACGAACAUUAUGUCCUUGUUUGUUUCUUUUUUGAGCAAAAGUUUUUUUCACUUGAAGAGUCUUUAUUUUUGGAAAGUUAGAAAAUACAGAAAAGCAGAAAGAAAAAAAACUAGUUCUUUCACUCAAAAAUAAUUAUUGUUAACAUUUUGAUGCACUUAGUAGUUCUUCUAUGCAUUUUAUUAUACUAUUAAAAUCACACUGUAGAAAUAUAAUUUGAUAUUGAUCAUGUCUUCCUUUAAGUUUUGCAUAUUGCUUGCAUACCAAUAUUAAAAUGCAAUUCAAUUCAUUAUUUUUUUAAGUCAUUAUUGUCAAUCUCUGUAUAUACAUAUGAGAAAUCCAACCCAAAACCAAACCCGCUGCAGUCCGGUCGAUUCAAAACACAAAGGAUGCACAACUACUUUAUUUGUGCCACAAUGUGUAUUUUUCCUGUUUGAUUUGUGUGCUUUCUUUGCCUUGCAGUGUAAUAUAUGCACAGCCUUUGUCUUGCACUUUAGGGUGCUGAACAGAUUUACUCUUAGAUUCUAAAAACUGUCAUUACAACAGCUAUCAUUAGCUUUAAAAUCUUAUCCCCAAAUCAGGUACCAUAUAUUUAGUUUCAUUAAAAGCAAUCAAUAUAUUCUUCUCUUAGGUAUGUUAUUUGCCUCUAAACCUUAAUUGUACCAAAAUUAGAGAGAAAGUUUGUUCCAAGAAUUUGAGGUUGAGGAGAAGAGUUCACAAAACUCUCAACUUUGACAAUGUAGAAGUUUGAAACCCUCAUGGACUAUCAUAAUCGGAACCUGUCAGGAAAGCUAAUUUAUAGAGUGAUGUUGAUUUUGAAACUGCAAAUGAUCAUAAUGGAUAUAUAUACACAUAUAUUGAAAUAAUUUUGGAUGAAAGCAUAGUUUGUCUUUCAAAAGUCAUAGCAUUUACAGUUCUUUGAGGAUGAUUCCUUUUUUUUAAAUUAAUAACAAAUGUAUUUUAAUAGAAACAAAGUAUAGCAAAUAUAUUUUAAAUAACAUACAGUAAAAAAUUUUAAAUAUUUUAAACAAAAUUCUUAUACAGAUACUUUUAUUUUUGUUAAUCAAGGCAGUGUGUGUUGCAGACUCUUUGGGGAAGUAUAAUUAAGUAAUUUAUUCCUCACUCAUUGAUUUAGGAAAUACAUGAAAUCUCUGAUUUAAGUACAGAAAAAUCUAUUUAGCAUUUAUGAAUGUGCAUAUGUAUAUGAUAGUGCUUUUGUCAUGUAAGCCUUGGAAAUUAUUCCUACAUCAAAUAACUUUAUUUUUUAACCAUCUAAAAAGCACCCAUUUUUACCUCUUCACUGUUGAUCAUAUAAAAAGUUAAGAUUAAUAGCAACAAUAACAUAAACUUCAGCUUAUUCAGUCUACUCAAUUAUGUUUUUGAUGGGAAAAGUGUGCAAAAUAUAGUAUCUUAUAAUUUUUUCUGUACUGAAGAAAUCAAUGAAAAUUUCCUGAGGUACCAAAAUAGCUAUGUAUCUAUAGAUACAUUUAUUUAUCUCUAGUCACUAUUAUUCCUAGGUUUCUUAAUCCAAAAUUACAUCUAAAACCACCCAUUUUUCAUGAUCUCACCACCUAUUGAUUAAGUAGUCCACAAAUCCUUUCUCAUAAUGUGUUUAUCUGAAUAUUUAAACCAAAAACUAGAUACCAUAAGAAGGAUCCAACACUCAUUGAUUAAACUUUCAGGAUCUAAGCCAAAUAAACAUUUGUAGUACUUCUUUAAAGUGCUAUCUGGCUUAUAGAUCCAUCUCUAUUUUUUUUUACCAUGCCUCCAGUACUCAUAUGCAUCGCCUCAUAUGCAUUGCAAAAGUUGAACAAUGACUAAGGAACACUGAAGAAGAAUUGAUGCCUUUGAAUUACGGUGUUGGCAAAGAAUACUGAAUACACCCUGGACUGCCAGAAGAGUGAACAAAUCUAUCUUGGAAGAAGUACAGCUAGAAUGCUCCUUAGAAGAAAGGAUGGUGAGACUACAACUCACAUACUUUGGACAUGUUAUUAGGAAGGACCAGUCCCUGGAAAAGGACGUCAUGCUUGUUGAAGUAGAGGGUCAGUGAAAGAGAGGAAAACCCUCGAUGAGAUGGAUUAACAUAGUGGCUGCAACAAUGGGCUCAAACAUAACAAUUAUAAGGAUGGCGCAGGAUGGGACAGUGUUUUGGCCUGUUGUACAUAGGGCUGCUAUGAGUUGUAACUGAUUCAAGGGCACCUGACAACAGCCACCAGGGUUAAGGCACAUUUAAAAAAACACUUACUAUUCACUAUUUCCCAGAUUUGCCGGACUAUGUGACACAUCCAUUGCUUUGCAAAUGCCAUUUCUUCUGUUAGGAAUGCUCAUUCCCUCUUUUCUCUCUAGUCAUAUUUAUUUAUCUUCCAAAUUCAAAUGCUCAAAUGGUAUCUUUCUAUGGCAACUUUCUAUAUAUUUGUCCUCAAACCCAAACUUUGAUGGAAGUAUUUAUUUAUACUUCUGGGUUUUUGGAGCUAUUCCAUUGCAAAGGAUUACUUUUCACAUUUGUCUAAGAGAUCUCCUUUCUAAACAACCUUCAUUAUUAUAAUUCCAUCAUCAUUAUCACCACUAUCUAGCUUCCAUCUUUAGACGCAUUAAAUGCUGUGCACUGAGUUUAGUGCUUUAUGAGAAAUCUCAUUUAAUGCUCACAUGAAGCUACAUUUUUGUUAUUAUUAUUACUGGUGUUGGUAUUUUUAUUUUAGAGUUAAGCCAAUUAAACAAAUAAAAAUCAUACAAUUGUCAUCUGGAGUGUCAUACAAAAUCACUAAAUUAUAGAGUUGUACUUCUGUCCAAGUCUGUCUGGUUUCAAAGCCAGUGAGAUUAAUAAUUAUGCUAUGUAGUUGCUUCAGGAUUUAGUCAUCUUUGUAAAGUUUUACCUAGCACAGUUCAUGUCACAUAGAAGAUUCUUAGUAAAUCUUUGAAAAAUAAUGCUUAAUGAUCUAACACAUAGAUAAAGUUGGUGUGACAUAAUCAAAUACCUGGCCAAUAAAAUCUGGUAUUAUCUAUUCUUGGUCAUUUUGGUCAUUUUGAAGUAGGCUCAAGUUAUCAUAAGUGAAAGUUUUUGUUAAAUAACAUAGACAUAGCUUUGUUGUUGUUGUUGUCUGACUCUGUCAGGUUGAUUCUGAUUCAUGGCUACCAUGUGUGUGCAGAGUAGAACUGCAGUUCAUUGGGCUUUCAAGGCUGUGACCUUUCAGAAGCAGAUUGUCAGGUCUCAUCUCACAACACCUCUAGGUGGGCUCGAACAGCCAGUAUCUCAGCUAGUAGUCCAGUGCUCAACAACUGUGGCACCCAGGGAGUCCUAGACAUAGCUUAUGGUCUAUAAAUUCAGAAAGAUAAAAUGUGUAUAAAGAUGGAUUAAGAGAUAGCUGGAUAGAUAAUAGAUUAUGAAAGAUGGAUAGAAAGCCCAAGUGAUAUUUGGAUUAGGACACCUUACACAUUUUUUUUUAACCAUCACAAAGGGUAGACUAUGACUGACAUUUAGAAAUACAGAAAGAAUAUUUUUAAAAAAGUAUUUUAAUUACACAUUAACUUUCAAAUGAUACUUUAGAAUGCACUAUAAUCAAUAUUUAUAGCCUUAAAAUUAUAUUCUCCAAAUGAUUUUUUUUACUCAAACAACAUUUUUUAGGUAGCUUAACACUUAGCUCAUACGCCUUCAGAUUUAGAAUUCAAAAAACAUUCCUAGUUAAUAGCUAUAAAAAGAGCAGAUUUUUGGCUUAAAGUUGGAUGCACACUCUCCAUGGGAAGUUACUGAAAUAGGUAGAUAUUCUUUUCAGCUAAUUAGUUUCUGGAAGCUAUAUCCUCAUUUAUCAUCUGACAGACUCAGAAAACAUUACAUGCCAUUGUGGUCUGGAGACUCAGUAUUACACCUUUAAAAAAUGUCUUUUCACAGAAAUUUCCUGGCACUGGCAAUUUGUGCAGAGUCAAGCAACAUGACCGUUUAUGGGUUAAAGAAGCAUACUUGAAUUUUUUUGUGUAUUGUGUUUACAUGUUUUAUUAUAUUUAGCAUUGUUAUUAAAAUACUAAUGUCUGUGUUAGCAUAUUCACAUUAACAGAAAGGACAUUUAAAAUGUUAAUUAUUUUCUAAUUAAUUCAAAGUAAGGUAUUGGAAAUAUUUAAUCAUUUGUUUGAGGGAAAUAUAGCAACUAUUUAAUAUUCACUUCACAAAAAGAAAGUUUCCCUUAUUUCUUACAGUCAUGACUGACACAACUAAAAGCAAACUGUACUGAUAUCCUAUGAUUCUAAGUUAAGGGCACCACAAAACCCUUUUCCCUAAGUAUAUCUGCUUUGAGACUACCUAGCUCAUAAUUUCUACCAUUCUAAAAACUUUCUGCUGGAUUCAGUUAUAUCAUUGUGAAAAGAGAAAUCUGCCCUAGAUAUCUUGGUGUUCCUUCACACACUGGCCUCCUGAGCUACAGAAAUUGUUAUCUAUGAUGAUAGAGACUGUUUGCUUUAAAUUUUUCCCAGAAACACUUGCUCUUCCCAUGUUAUGGGUACUGGACCUACAAACAUGUUUCCGUCACGAUAAAGCACUUAGCUCCAAUAGACCCUGGGUGGUGUAAACGGGUAAUGCACUCAACUACUAACUGAAAGGUUGAAAGUUUGAAUCUACCUGGAUGUGUCUCAAAAGAAAGGCCUGGUGAUCUACCCCCCCCCAAAAAAAAAAUCAGCCAUUGAAAACCCCAUAGAGCACAGUUCUAUUCUUACACACGUGGUGUUACCAUGAGUUGGACUUACCUGACAGCAAUUGCUUUUGUUUGUUUUUUUUUUCAUUCAAAAAUUUAUACACAGAUUGUUUUGUGACACUGAUUACAAUUCCCACAAUGUGUCAGUACCCUCCACCUUUCCCUUUACACUCUGGGUUUCCCGUGUCUGUUGGUCUGGGUUACCUGUCCUUUCCUGCCUUCUCCUCUUUGCUUUCGGGCAGGUGUUGGCCAUUUGGUAUAUUUGAACUGGAAAGCACGUUCCUCUUGUGUGUUAUUGUUUGUUUUAUAGGCCUAUCUAAUCUAUGGCUGAAAGGUGGACUUUUGGAAUGGCUUCAGUUCUGAGUUAGCAGGGUGUCCAGGGCCCAUAGUCUCAGUGAUUCCUCCAGUCUCUGUCAAACCAGUAGGUCUGGUCUUUUUUUGUAAAUUUGAAUUUUGUUCUACAUUUUUCUCUAAUUCUGUUUGGGACUCUCUAUUGGGAUCCCUGUCAGAGCAGUUGUUGGUGGUAGCUGGGCAUGGUCUAGUUUUUCUGGGUUCAGGCUGGUGGAGGUUGUAGUUCAUGUGUUCAUUAGUCCUUUGGACUAAUAUUUUCUUUAUGUCUUUGGCUUUCUUCAUUCCCCUUUGCUCCAAACGUAAUGGGACCAACAGAUGUACUUUAGAUAGCAACUCUCCAGCUUUUAAGAUUCCAGACAGUACCCACCAAAGUAAGAUGUAGAACAUUUUCUUUGUGAACUACAUUGUGCCAACUGACCUAGAUGUCUCCUGAGACUGUGGCCCCAGCCCUCAGCUGCAUUACCUCAGUCUCUUAAGGUGUUUGAAUGUGUCUAGGAAGCUUCCACUACUUUGCCUUGGUCAAGUUGUGCUACCUUCCCCUAUAUUGUGUGUUGUCUUUCCGUUCUCCAAAGUUAACACUUGUCUUCUGUCCAGUUAGUGAUUUCUCCUUCCCCACCCUUCCCCUCCAUUGUAACCAUCAAAGAUUGUUUUAUUCUGUGUGGAAACCUUUUCUUGAGUUUUUAUAAUAGUGGUCUUAUACAAUACUUGUCCUUUUGUAAUUGACUUAUUGCACUCAGCAUAAUGCCAUCCAGAUUCAUCCACGUUGUGAGUUGUUUCGAAGGUCCAUCAUUGUUCUUUAUCAUUGUGUAGUAGUUCAUUGCAUGUAUGUACCGUAGUUCGUUUAUCUAUUUAUCUGUUGAUGGGCACUUAGAUCAUUUUCAUCUUUUUGCUAUUGUAAAUAAUGUUUCAGUAAACAUGGGUGUGCAGGUCUAUUCAUGUGAUGGCUUAUUUCUCUAGGGUAUAUCCCUAGGAGUACGAUUUCUGGAUCCUGUGGUAUUUCUAUUUCUAGAUUUUUAAGGAGGUGCUGUAUCAUUUUCCAUAGUGGUUGUCCAUUUUACAUUCCCACCAGCAUGACAGUUCCCAUCUCCCCGCAACCUUUCCAACAUUCGUUAUUUUCUGUUUUUUUUUUAACACCUAUGAUUAUUUAUUUAUUUUUAAAUUAACUUUUAUUAAGCUUCAAGUGAAUGUUUACAAAUCCAAUCAGUCUCUCACAUAUAAGUUUACAUACAUCUUACUCCGUACUCCCACCUGCUCUCCCCCUAUUGAGUCAGCCCUUUCAGUCUCUCCUUUCGUGACAAUUUUGCCAGCUUCCCUCUCUCUCUAUCCUCCCAUCCCCACUCCAGACAAGAGCUACCAACCCACUCUCAAGUGUCCACCUGAUAUAAUUAGCUCACUCUUCAUCAGCAUCUCUCUCCCACCCGCUGACCAGUCCCUUUCAUGUCUGAUGAGUUGUCUUCGGGGAUGGUUCCUGUCCUGUGCUGACAGAGGGUCUGGGGAGCAUGGUCGCCGGGAUUCCUCUAGUCUCAGUCAGACCAUUAAGUAUGGUCUUUUUAUGAGAAUUUGGGA